RNAcentral lists this ribosomal RNA (406 nucleotides) under uncultured bacterium. Its description in RNAcentral is "partial 16S ribosomal RNA". It matches the Rfam family "Bacterial small subunit ribosomal RNA", at positions 30 to 526 of the family's 1533-position model. The record is from RNAcentral.
AUUGAACGCUGGCGGCAGGCCUAACACAUGCAAGUCGAGCGAGCGGCGGACGGGUGUGUAAUGUCUGUGAAAUUGCUUUAUGGAGGGGGAUAACUACUGGAAACGGUAGCUAAUACCGCUAACCUUCAGUUUUGCCCUGAUUGGACUAGCUAGUAGGUGGGGUAACGGCUCACCUAGGCCACGAUCCGUAGCUGGUCUGAGAGGUUGACCGGCCACACUGGAACUGAGACACGGUCCAGACUCCUACGGGAGGCAGCAGUGGGGAAUAUUGCACAAUGGGCGAAAGCCUGAUGCAGCAAUGCCGCGUGGAUGAAGAAGGCCUUCGGGUUGUAAAGUACUUUCAGCGGGGAGGCGGUACCCACACAGGAAGCACCGGCUAACUCCGUGCCAGCAGCCGCGGUAAUAC